UACGUAGGGGGCGAGCGUUGUCCGGAGUUACUGGGCGUAAAGCGCACGCAGGCGGUCUGCUAAGUUUGGAGUGACAGUUGGUGGCUUAACUGCCAAAGUGCUUCGAAAACUGACAGACUUGAGGGCUUCAGAGGGACGACGGAAUUCCGGGUGGAGUGGUGAAAUGCGUAGAGAUCCGGAGGAACACCAAAGGCGAAGGCAGUGUCCUGGGGAGUACCUGACGCUCGAGGUGCGAAAGCCAGGGGAGCGAACGGG
RNAcentral lists this ribosomal RNA (255 nucleotides) under uncultured bacterium. RNAcentral's name for it is "partial 16S ribosomal RNA". It matches the Rfam family "Bacterial small subunit ribosomal RNA", at positions 524 to 776 of the family's 1533-position model. The record is from RNAcentral.